GCGGUUUAAUUGGACUCAACGCCGGACAUCUCACCAGCCCCGACAUCAGUAAUGACAGUCAUGUUGACGACAUCCGCCCGAGCUGAUGAGAGGAGGUGCAUGGCCGCCGUCAGCUCGUACCGUGAGGCAUCCUGUUAAGUCAGGCAACGAGCGAGAUCCACAUCCCUAAUUGCCAGCACCAUCGCACGAUGGGUGGGUACAUUAGGGAGACUGCCAGUGCUAAACUGGAGGAAGGAAUGGGCAACGGUAGGUCAGUAUGCCCCGAAUGGGCUGGGCAACACGCGGGCUACAAUGGCGAGGACAACGGGUUCCAACACUGAAAAGUGACGGUAAUCUCGCAAACCUCGUCGUAGUUCGGAUUGCGGGCUGAAACUCGCCCGCAUGAAGCUGGAUUCGGUAGUAAUCGCGUUUCAGAAGAGCGCGGUGAAUACGUCCCUGCUCCUUGCACACACCGCCCGUCAAAGCACCCGAGUGAGGUCCGGAUGAGGCCACAUCACUGUGGUCGAAUCUGGGCUUCGCAAGGGGGCUUAAGUCGUAACAAGGUAACCG
RNAcentral lists this ribosomal RNA (549 nucleotides) under uncultured archaeon. Its description in RNAcentral is "bacterial SSU rRNA". It matches the Rfam family "Archaeal small subunit ribosomal RNA", at positions 897 to 1449 of the family's 1478-position model. The record is from RNAcentral.